This 322-nucleotide ribosomal RNA is filed under the name uncultured eukaryote. Its description in RNAcentral is "partial 18S ribosomal RNA". It matches the Rfam family "Eukaryotic small subunit ribosomal RNA", at positions 1470 to 1796 of the family's 1831-position model. The record is from RNAcentral.
CCCUUAGAUGUUCUGGGCCGCACGCGUGCUACACUGAGUGGAUCAGCGGGUCAGGUUGCGCGAAAGUGUUUUCUAAUCUUUAAAUCCGCUCGUGAUGGGGAUUGACGGUUGCAAUUUUCCGUCAUGAACGAGGAAUACCUUGUAAGCGCGGGUCAUCAUCCCGCGCUGAAUACGUCCCUGCCCUUUGUACACACCGCCCGUCGCUCCUACCGAUUGAGUGGUCCGGUGAGGCUUUGGGAUCUGAGCGGAAAGAGCGUUUCGCUGUUUCUGCCCGGAAAACUCAGUCGAACCUUAUCAUUUAGAGGAAGGAGAAGUCGUAACA